Molecule: ribosomal RNA, 429 nt
Filed under: Bacteroidota bacterium
Lineage: Bacteria; Pseudomonadati; Bacteroidota
Description: Bacteroidetes bacterium partial 16S ribosomal RNA
Rfam family: Bacterial small subunit ribosomal RNA
Source: RNAcentral
UAGGGAAUCUUCGGCAAUGGGGGGAACCCUGACCGAGCAACGCCGCGUGAGUGAAGAAGGUUUUCGGAUCGUAAAGCUCUGUUGUUAAGGAAGAACGAGUGUGAGAAUGGAAAGUUCAUACUGUGACGGUACUUAACCAGAAAGGGACGGCUAACUACGUGCCAGCAGCCGCGGUAAUACGUAGGUCCCGAGCGUUGUCCGGAUUUAUUGGGCGUAAAGCGAGCGCAGGCGGUUAGAAAAGUCUGAAGUGAAAGGCAGUGGCUCAACCAUUGUAGGCUUUGGAAACUGUUUAACUUGAGUGCAGAAGGGGUGAGUAGAAUUCCAUGUGUAGCGGUGCAAUGCGUAGAUAUAUGGAGGAACACCGGUGGCGGAAGCGGCUCUCUGGUCUGUAACUGACGCUGAGGCUCGAAAGCGUGGGGAGCGAACAGG